This 297-nucleotide long non-coding RNA is filed under the name Monodelphis domestica (gray short-tailed opossum). RNAcentral's name for it is "lncRNA (ENSMODG00000047208.1)". The record is from RNAcentral. Lineage: Eukaryota; Metazoa; Chordata; Mammalia; Didelphimorphia; Didelphidae.
GAAAGCUUUGGCUGCUCUAUGUGUCAGACAAUUUCAUCACAAUGCUAUUUUGAUACAUCAUCAUGAAGUACUGUGAUUUUAGGUUGUUGAAAAGCUAGGCUAGCAACAUGUUCACCGUGCCAGGAAUGGCCAAAGUGUGCUUUAUCAACUGAAUUUGCGGUUCUGUCAUCUGAGGAACAGCCUCAAUAAAGUGGCAGAAAGUCAUUACUGGAAAGCUAGCCACCAGAUGAAGAUCCGUGAUUUCACUGACCGUGAGCACUCCCUGGAAGAGAAAUCAAUCAACGAAUGUUCUCUUUA